RNAcentral lists this ribosomal RNA (259 nucleotides) under uncultured bacterium. RNAcentral's name for it is "partial small subunit ribosomal RNA". It matches the Rfam family "Bacterial small subunit ribosomal RNA", at positions 26 to 285 of the family's 1533-position model. The record is from RNAcentral.
AGAAUCAACGCUGGCGGCGUGCCUAACACAUGCAAGUCGAACGAGAAAGUGGAGCAAUCCAUGAGUAAAGUGGCGACCGGGUGAGUAACACGUGACUAACCUACCUUCAAGUGGGGGAUAACCUCGGGAAACCGGGCUAAUACCGCAUAACAUCUUUGGAGUGGAAAUUCUGGAGAUCAAAGGAGCAAUUCGCUGGAAGAGGGGGUCGCGGCUGAUUAGCUAGUUGGCGGGUAAUGGCCCACCAAGGCUUUGAUCGGUA